RNAcentral lists this transfer RNA (42 nucleotides) under Amazilia viridicauda. RNAcentral describes it as "partial tRNA-Leu". The record is from RNAcentral. Lineage: Eukaryota; Metazoa; Chordata; Aves; Apodiformes; Trochilidae.
AACUUUUAAAGGAUAACAGUCAAUCCAUUGGUCUUAGGAACC